CCCGGCCGGCCGCCCCACUCGCCGUCGCCCCUCGCCCCUCGCCAGUGCAGCAGCCGUUCCGCCUCCGGCCUCCCCAGUCCGCGACCCUCGCCCGUGCAGCAGCCGUUCGCCGCCGCAGCAGCCCGUGCAGCAGCCGUUCGCCCGUGUAGCAGCCUCCGAGCUCCGACGACAGGUGAGCUUCUUCUUGGAAGAAGAGAUGUUGCUGCCACCGGGGGCCAUUAGGGCACGGGGUCGCGCGAUAGGAGCGGCGAGAUCGGAGCAGAUCGAUGCGCUUCUAGAAGUUGCUAUCUUCGUCGCUUCAAUCGAAACAAAAAACAGAAAUUAAAAGAUGCGAGCAAACAACACAAUUACUCAAUUAAGGAACUUCACUCGAUGAGGGAAUUUACCUAAAAAAUCUUCAAUCGGAGUAGAUCCACCUGAUUAGGGUUCGUUCUUCA
Molecule: long non-coding RNA, 437 nt
Filed under: Salvia miltiorrhiza (redroot sage)
Lineage: Eukaryota; Viridiplantae; Streptophyta; Magnoliopsida; Lamiales; Lamiaceae
Description: long non-coding RNA (SMIL_LNC013397)
Source: RNAcentral